This 421-nucleotide ribosomal RNA is filed under the name Acanthosepion recurvirostrum. RNAcentral describes it as "Sepia recurvirostra partial 12S rRNA". The record is from RNAcentral. Lineage: Eukaryota; Metazoa; Mollusca; Cephalopoda; Sepiida; Sepiidae.
AUACAUAUACCUUAAAUUUAUAUAAGUAUAAUAUAAAAAAAAGUAAUAAAUUAAUAACUUGUUAUUAGAAAGGUUGAGAAUAAUAGUUGUAGGUAAAAUUUAGAAUUGUUAUUAUUAAUUAGGUUUUUCUAAGAUUUAAGCUUUGAAAAUAAGAUUUUGUGAAAACUAGGAUUAGAUACCCUAUUAUUCUUUAUUUUAAAUUUUUUUUUAUUUAAGUAGUGUAAAUAAAUUAUAUAAUUAAUUAUAUUUGAAACUUAAAAAGCUUGGCGGUGCUAUAGAUCCAUUUAGGGGAGCUUGUUUAUUAAUUUGAUAAUCCACAAUUAAUUCUUACUUUUUUUUGAAUAAUUUAUCAGUUUGUAUAUUGCUGUCAUCAGUUUAUUUUGUGAAAAUUAUUAAAGGACUUAAAAGUGUAUUUGCUAGC